CAAUCGAACGGUUGAUGGAAUACCAGGGUCUCCUUUGCUGCCGAAUAUUUGUUCCAGUAUGCUGCAAGCAGGCCCGAAAACGGAACAAACGUCGGUCGAGAAUGCGCUACACUACAAUUAAUCCCGUAACUAAGCUCUUGUGGAUAUGGAUAGCAUUGGGUAGAAAGACAAGAGUGGUCGAAGCCGAAUUAAAUAAUGAAUGAUUUUAUAUGAAUAAAAAACUUGAGAUUUUUUUAAAUCUUCAGGUGUUGCAUCGUCAAAAUUUUCGUUGAGGAAUUGCUGUGAUUAUCUUUUCAAUUCUUUUUUAAAGUUUCGGCUAUUAUAUUUUGAAAUUACAUAUUGUUAAUAUUUGUAGCUUCUGUACUCAAUGCUAUUGCACCGAAACUUGUGCAAAUGCAAUCUUCUUAUUUAUGAAAUUAUAAAAUCUUCAAGAUGCGCGAAUCUUCUAAUAGAUAUUAAAAAAUUUUAAUACAAGAUUAUAAAUGUAUAUGUACAUUGAUUUUAAUACAAAAAAAGAAUGGGAAAUUGAGAUAUGAAUUUCAAUAAAAUUUCGCUUAAAAAAUGCUAAAUCGCUUAAAAAAUUGGAAAAUGUUAUUUUCGCAGCGAGCUAUUCAUACAAGCUGAUGACUGCUUUACAAUCACAGACAAAAACAUUUAUAUUACAAGCACUAAUCAUAGCAGUGCAAAGAAAUUAAUUAGCGUAAUGCAUCGUAUAUAUUAUAUGAUUUAUUUAUUCAAAUAAUGUCAAUAUAGAAUGUAGUCAUCUAAUGAUAUCUUAUUUAAAAUACAUAUGUAGGUAGUAGUGAUCGUGGUAUAAAUAUUCGUUUUCUCUCGAAGAAAUAUCUAAAACUUCUUAAUCAGUUUUUUUUAUUAAUGUUUUAUUGAAUAACAAUUCUAAUUUUAAAAACAAUACUUUCAACUAUAUACGAACAUAAAUUUGAAAUUUACUGAGUUUCUGAAAUAUUUCUACAUAUUUAAAUUCAUAAACAAGAAUAAAUGGGCAACAGAAUUACACUAUAUAUUUUAAAUGUGCAUUAAAAUGUAUUCAACUUUAGUAUGGUUAUUAAAAAAUACUUUAUAUGUAACAAAUUAAUAAAAUGAUUACUCAAUAAAAUAAACUCGAUAUAAUCCACUUUGAAUCUGUCUUAAAUCCGUUUCGUUUUAUUUACAUAGUGUACACAUAUCUUGACAUAUAAAAUCUACGUUUAUUUCCCUACAUUAAUAAUUAAAUUAUACAAGAAUACAAAAAGAACGACACACGCGCGUGCGCGUGCGUGCUCGCGUAUAUCUAUAACUUUCUUAAAAAUUAACAAACUAAGAAAAAAAUAGAAAAAAUAAGAAAAAAAACUCCAAAACUUUCCAAAAUACAUUGUAAAUAGUUUAACUGAUAUUUAUGGAUUAUCUAAUUAUCUGAGUUAUUGCUAACUAUCAUAAUCAUCGACUUUUCAAAACAUUGCAUUUGAUUGAUAUUUGGGAUAAUUCAGGAGUAAACGCUCACUUAAUUAACUCAUUAGACAUUAACUCAUACAAGAAAUAAUCGAAAAGGAUUAUAAAAAUAUCGAAACGUAUAUAUGCAUCACGUGGUUGUAAUGAGUCUAAAAUAAAUCAUCCUGGUGUGUGUGUGUGUGUGUGUGUGUGUGUGUCUGUCUGUCUGUCUGUCAGUUAGUCAAAGAUAUCGUAUGAAAUACAAUGAAAUUCUGCAUCGCAUUUGUAUUGGUUACGUAGAUAUUUGGAUACGUACACAUGGACAUAUAUGUUUGAUAAUCCUCUGUUUUAUUAAAAUCAUAAAUUAACUUUAGGGAAGAUACAAUUUUAUUUUGACAAGAUUCGAAGUUAACACAACAAAGCUUAUAAUUACAAAUUUUAUACACUAAUUCACAUUUUGUCGUUCGAAUAUAUCUAUCUUAAAUUAUGUGUAUUAAAAAAUAUGGCUUUUCACGUAAAAGCAUGUUAGAAACAUUUUUUCCUCGGACAAGAAUUGUAUUUUUUAAUAUGCUUAAUGUAUUAUAAUGUAUAUGAAAUAUUCAAAUAUUUGGCUAAUUAAUGUUGUGUAAAAUAAUUAUACAUGAUAUAUAACGUUAAAUGUGACAAUAGCUUAUUGACGCUCGAGAAAACGACGAAAAAACUAUAAAACUAAACUAAACUAAUUAAAACUAACGAAGAGCAAAUAUUAAAUUUUGUUUCAAGCAAAACAGCUGACGAAAUGUACGAAAUGAUGAAAAGUAUAUGUAUGAUAGUGAAUGCUUGGAUGUUUUAACGUUUUUAGUUUUUUGGUUGCUUGUAUUUUGAAUAAAAAAUUAGAAUUAUUUAAAAGCAAAAAAUUAUUAAGUAUUAAAUAUUAAGAACAUAAAAUAAUUGACAUCUUGUAUUUUUCCUUCGAUGUUAGCCGCAUCAGGUUCUGGACCGUGAAUAUAUGUCUCCUCUUUCUUAAACGAAUAUCUUCGAUUUUAUUUCUUAACGAUUUUG
Long non-coding RNA from Ooceraea biroi (clonal raider ant), 2466 nucleotides. RefSeq lists it as uncharacterized. The record is from RefSeq and is a predicted model, not a curated record. Lineage: Eukaryota; Metazoa; Arthropoda; Insecta; Hymenoptera; Formicidae.